UACGUAGGGUGCGAGCGUUGUCCGGAAUUAUUGGGCGUAAAGAGCUCGUAGGCGGCUUGUCGCGUCGGAUGUGAAAGCCCGGGGCUUAACUCCGGGUCUGCAUUCGAUACGGGCAGGCUAGAGUUCGGUAGGGGAGAUCGGAAUUCCUGGUGUAGCGGUGAAAUGCGCAGAUAUCAGGAGGAACACCGGUGGCGAAGGCGGCAUCCUGGACCGAUACUGACGCUGAGGAGCGAAAGCCAGGGGAGCAAACGGG
RNAcentral lists this ribosomal RNA (253 nucleotides) under uncultured bacterium. Its description in RNAcentral is "partial 16S ribosomal RNA". It matches the Rfam family "Bacterial small subunit ribosomal RNA", at positions 524 to 776 of the family's 1533-position model. The record is from RNAcentral.